This is a long non-coding RNA of Daphnia pulex (common water flea), 474 nucleotides long. RefSeq lists it as uncharacterized. The record is from RefSeq and is a predicted model, not a curated record. NCBI's taxonomy places the organism in Eukaryota, Metazoa, Arthropoda, Branchiopoda, Diplostraca, Daphniidae. The transcript is spliced from 2 exons.
AGAAAUUUAUAUUUCGAUCCUACAACAACAAAAUUCAUUUGGUUAGAAGCCCACCCAUUAUUCCUUGAGGCGAGGGAGGUAACAAACGAAGAAAUUAUAAUGCACGGUAUAUCACGAAUACCGUUUUACUUCUUCUACGCACCGCGCAAAAUUUGCUAAAAACUGGCUUUAGGAAUAUUUACCUUGCUGAAAACAAAGGUAUAAAUAUAUAUUUUUUUUAAAUUUUAUCUAGAAUCUAGACGAAAUUCGUUGUAUUCUAUAUCUUCAUGCUUCUUUCUAGUCGUUCAUUAGGUUUAGCCCUUUACAUUUGUUUGUUUUAACUGAUUAUUGCUGCAUUUUUUAGAGAUAGGGUGCUACAAUGUAAAAAGAGACACUUGAUUAAUCCGCUUUUAUUUCCGUAAUAUUCGAAGUAAAAGAAAACGAGAAUAUAAAUGAAAGAUACAUAUUGCCAGUAAGAGCUUAAUUGGCAAAGGG